RNAcentral lists this ribosomal RNA (253 nucleotides) under uncultured bacterium. RNAcentral describes it as "partial 16S ribosomal RNA". It matches the Rfam family "Bacterial small subunit ribosomal RNA", at positions 524 to 776 of the family's 1533-position model. The record is from RNAcentral.
GACGAACCGUGCGAACGUUGUUCGGAUUCACUGGGCUUAAAGGGCGCGUAGGCGGCCGACCAAGUCCGGGGUGAAAGCCCCCGGCUCAACCGGGGAAGGGCCUCGGAGACUGGUCGUCUCGAGUGGGGUAGGGGCGUGCGGAACUUCCGGUGGAGCGGUGAAAUGCGUUGAUAUCGGAAGGAACUCCGGUGGCGAAAGCGGCGCGCUGGACCCCAACUGACGCUGAGGCGCGAAAGCCAGGGGAGCGAACGGG